This 1487-nucleotide ribosomal RNA is filed under the name uncultured bacterium. Its description in RNAcentral is "bacterial SSU rRNA". It matches the Rfam family "Bacterial small subunit ribosomal RNA". The record is from RNAcentral.
UAGAGUUUGAUCAUGGCUCAGGACGAACGCUGGCGGCGUGCCUAACACAUGCAAGUCCAACGAGAAAGUCUCCUUCGGGAGACCGGUAAAGUGGCGGACGGGUGAGUAACGCGUGGGAAUCUACCCGGUAGUGGGGGAUAACCCCCCGAAAGGGGAGCUAAUACCGCAUAAGCCCCAAGGGGUAAAGAUGGCCUCUUUCUAAUGCUAUCGCUUCCGGAUGAGCCCGCGUCCUAUUAGCUAGUUGGUGAGGUAAUGGCUCACCAAGGCUACGAUGGGUAGCCGGUCUGAGAGGAUGAACGGCCACACUGGGACUGAGACACGGUCCAGACUCCUACGGGAGGCAGCAGUGAGGAAUAUUGGACAAUGGAUGGAAAUCUGAUCCAGCCAUGCCGCGUGCAGGAAGACGGCCCUAUGGGUUGUAAACUGCUUUUGUAUGGGAGCAAUAAGAUCUACGUGUAGAUUGAUGAGAGUACCAUACGAAUAAGCACCGGCUAACUCCGUGCCAGCAGCCGCGGUAAUACGGAGGGUGCAAGCGUUAUCCGGAUUUAUUGGGUUUAAAGGGUGCGUAGGCGGUUUGAUAAGUCAGCGGUGAAAUAUUUCAGCUUAACUGGAAGGGUGCCGUUGAUACUGUCGAGCUUGAAUUUAGUUGCUGUGGGUGGAAUGUGUGGUGUAGCGGUGAAAUGCAUAGAUAUCACACAGAAUAUCGAUUGCGAAGGCAGCUCACAAGGCUAAUAUUGACGCUGAUGCACGAAAGUGUGGGGAUCAAACAGGAUUAGAUACCCUGGUAGUCCACACUGUAAACGAUGAUAACUCGCUGUCGGCGAUACACAGUCGGUGGCCAAGCGAAAGCGAUAAGUUAUCCACCUGGGGAGUACGACCGCAAGGUUGAAACUCAAAGGAAUUGACGGGGGCCCGCACAAGCGGAGGAACAUGUGGUUUAAUUCGAUGAUACGCGAGGAACCUUACCCGGGCUCGAACGGUGCAUGAAUAGAUCAGAGAUGGUUUAGUCCUUCGGGACAUGUAUCGAGGUGCUGCAUGGUUGUCGUCAGCUCGUGCCGUGAGGUGUCGGCUUAAGUGCCAUAACGAGCGCAACCCUUGUCGUUAGUUGCCAUCAGGUAAUGCUGGGAACUCUAGCGAGACUGCCACCGUAAGGUGCGAGGAAGGGGGGGAUGACGUCAAAUCAGCACGGCCCUUACGUCCGGGGCGACACACGUGUUACAAUGGCAGGUACAGAGGGCAGCUACCCAGCGAUGGGGUGCGAAUCUCGAAAGCCUGUCUCAGUUCGGAUCGGAGUCUGCAACUCGACUCCGUGAAGUUGGAUUCGCUAGUAAUCGCGCAUCAGCCAUGGCGCGGUGAAUACGUUCCCGGGCCUUGUACACACCGCCCGUCAAGCCAUGGAAGCUGGGGGUGCCUGAAGUUCGUUACCGCAAGGAGCGACCUAGGGCAAAACUGGUAACUGGGGCUAAGUCGUAACAAGGUAACCCUAA